RNAcentral lists this long non-coding RNA (553 nucleotides) under Sorghum bicolor (sorghum). RNAcentral describes it as "long non-coding RNA (SBIC_LNC015359)". Lineage: Eukaryota; Viridiplantae; Streptophyta; Magnoliopsida; Poales; Poaceae. The record is from RNAcentral.
UGGCUCGGAAAUACUGAAACAAAACAAGCAAGUCGCCGGCUGCAUAGCCAUUGCCGUGUAGGUAUUCACGUCGACUACUCGGAGUCGGCGAUGGCGUGACGCACAUCGACAAAGCAAUGCUGGAGGUGGAGCGGAGGAAGGCAAAAUCAACAGAAGGCAGACGCCUUUAGAUCGAUGCUCUCCUGCUUCCCCAUAUAUAGGUUACGGGCUUGCCAAUAUGCAUUUUUUUUAGUGCUCCAGAGAUCUCAUAUAGUAUACAUAUCUGAUUAGGCACCUUGCUUUCAAGGGCCCAAUGUGGCUGCCCAGCUCGACCCCCCUCAGGUCCGGGGGCCUGGCGACGGGCAAGAAAAUAUGGAAGAUGGGUUGUUACACUUUGGCUGCGUCACGUGUUCAUUUCUUUGUGUACCUUUGCAAUAAUCAGAACAAGUGCUGCUUACAUAUGGACAGGCAUGGAAAUUAUAUCAAAAACUGUCUAAAGCAUUCCCAUGUGCACUCUUGUGGUAUGUUGUGACACUGUGCUCACAGUUGAGCACAUCAGUGAACUAGCCAUGGU